UUGGCGCGAUUAAAUGCAGAAGAGGUUUCCAAGGCUGCUGCUGAAGCAAGAAAAAGCUUAAGAUAGAAGAGAUUGUGACUGAAAUGGGUGGUCUUCUACGUGCUAAAGCAUCACUGGAUUUGAACUUUGUCAUUGUGAAAAAUGUUUUGGCUGCAAAAUACAAGAUUUUUUUAGUAUCUAAAACUUUUUCAGGCUUUGGGCCUUGCUUAUCAGCGACUGGGCAGGUAUACUGCAGCCAUAAAGUCUUAUGGCCGUGCCAUCGAGUUGGAUGAUAAGAUGGUCUUUGCUUUGGUUGAAAGCGGAAAUAUCUCGUUGACACUUGGUUCAUUUAGGAAGGGAGUUGAACAAUUUCGACAAGCUUUGGAGAUUUCAUCACAAUGUGUGCCUGCACAAUAUGGGCUUGCUUUGGGGCUUCUUUGUUUAGCAAAAGAUUGCAUGAACCUGGGAGCAUUUAAGUGGGGGGCUUCUUUAUUAGAGCUUUGUUUUAUAGAAAUUGUUUGGAUGCUGUGGCAUUCAUUUUU
Long non-coding RNA from Arachis duranensis, 521 nucleotides. RefSeq lists it as uncharacterized. The record is from RefSeq and is a predicted model, not a curated record. The transcript has 4 exons. Lineage: Eukaryota; Viridiplantae; Streptophyta; Magnoliopsida; Fabales; Fabaceae.